CCCGGCACUGCGGUAAUAUGGCUCCGUAGCGGGCGGCCCCGCGUCGCUGCUGCCGCCGCCAUUAACCCCUGUGUGGCCGGUGGCGGCCGGGGGGCGGCGCGGGGGGCUCAUGCGAGGAUGAGCUCGGCCGCCGGCCCCGCCGCUCUGCCCCUGCCGCCGGGCUCCGCCGCGCGGGCCUGGCAUGUGGAGCUGCCCUCGCAGCAGCGUCGGCUUCGUCAUCUGCGGAAUAUUGCUGCACGUAACAUCAUCAAUAAGAAUGGUUAUCGCCUCUUGGAUACUUACUUCACUCUUCAUUUGUGUGAUAACACCAAGAUAUACAAAGAAUUUUAUAAGAGUGAAGUCAUCAAGAAUUCUCUGAACCCAACAUGGAGGAGCCUGGACUUUGGAAUAAUGCCCGAUCGCCUUGAUACGUCCGUCUCGUGUUUUGUUGUGAGGAUCUGGGGUGGCAAGAAGGAGCACUAUCAGCUUCUGAUAGAAUGGAAAGUUAAUCUAGAUGGAUUAAAGUACUUGGGCCAGCAGAUACAUGCAAGAAACCCCAAUGAGAUUAUUUUUGGUCUCAAUGAUGGUUACUAUGGAGCAUCAUUUGAACAGAAGGAUCACUCAGGUACCCUGAAGAAUAGUCUUCUCCAGGUGGAUCAGAACWGUGUUCGUAACUCUUACGAUGUCUUCUCUUUGCUUAGGCUUCACAGAGCCCAGUGUGCAAUUAAACAGACUCAGGUAACUGUCCAAAAAAUAGGAAGGGAGAUUGAAGAAAAGCUGAGAUGUACAUCUACAAGCAAUGAACUGAAAAAGAAGAGUGAAUGUUUACAGUUGAAGAUCCUGGUGCUACAUAAUGAACUGGAGAGGCAGAAGAAGGCCCUGGGUCAAGAAGUAGCCUUACUGCAUAAGCAGCAAAAUAAUUUGCAUGAAAGAGAAAAUGUAUUUCAGACAGAAUACCAGAAGCUUCAAGAGCAUAAUGAAUCCUUGCAUGAAUUAAGGAAGGAAUGCACUGCUAAGAGGGAAUUGUUCUUGAAGACGAAUGCCCAGCUGACUAUUCGAUGCAAGCAACUGCUGACAGAGCUGUCCUAUAUCUACCCUAUUGAUUUGAAUGAUCAAAAGGAUUACUUUGUUUGUGGAGUCAAGCUGCCCAAUUCUGAAGACUUUCAAGCAAAAGAUGACGGGAGCAUUGCUGUUGCCCUGGGCUACACAGCUCAUUUGGUCUCAAUGAUAUCCUACUUCUUACAAGUGCCACUCAGGUAUCCCAUAAUUCACAAGGGCUCCAGGUCUACAAUCAAAGAUAACAUCAACGACAAACUGACAGAGAAGGAGCGAGAAUUCCCUUUAUAUCCAAAAGGAGGAGAGAAGCUUCAGUUUGAAUAUGGAGUAUAUCUUCUCAACAAAAAUAUAGCACAGCUUAGAUAUCAGCAUGGACUGAGUACUCCAGACCUAAGGCAAACUCUUCCCAACCUGAAACACUUCAUGGAGCUUGGGCUAAUGGUUAGAUGUGAUCGACACCACACAUCCAGUGCAAUUCCCGUUCCAAAGAGACAGAGCUCCAGCUUUGGCAGAUUGGAUAUUGGCUUCUCUGGUGGGCUUCCUUCUCCGGAUAAAGGACUCCGAAAACGAGCCAGCACGGGGAAUGAAAGACUGCAGUACAAAACUCCUCCUCCCAGCUACAACUCGGCUUUAGCACAGCCUGUUGCCGUUGCAGCCUGUGUAGGAGAAUUAGACAAAAAACCUGCACCGAUAUCUUCCUCCUUAGAUACCUCCAUGGACACCUCAAAAGCAAAGAGCGAGAGAGGAGGGGCUUUAUGCAGCAGUUUAAACGGGGAAAACGGGAGGCUAAGCAGUACCCAAGAUCAUCAGGAGUCUUUCCUGGUACCUACUAGUGCAAUAAAUGGGGCGCUUCUGCCUGGUGAGUGCUCGGGCACAGCAAGCAACGAGCAGCCCUGCGAGUACCGGCCCUCGGCCUGCUGCACCGUGGAGCAAGCCGAGGAAAUCAUCGGCAUGGAAGCCACCGGAUUCAGCGAGGGGGACCAGCUGGAGGACUUCAACUCCAUCCCGGUGGAGCACGCCGUGGCGGUGGAGUGCGACGAGCAAGUCCUGGGGGAGUUUGAGGAGUUCUCCCGAAGGAUCUAUGCACUGAACGAAAACAUGUCCAGUUUCCGCAGGCCGCGGAAAAGUUCGGACAAAUGAGCUCGGACAGGGGGGUUUCGGGGUAGCAGACAUUGAGGUGAAAUCAGUGAUCUGGAACAGAGAUAAAAUUGCACUUAUUCUUUAUAGUAAUUAUGAAAAAAAGCUAAAGUUAUUCCUCUGGUGUUAGACAAAUGGACUUGUAACCGAGCACGAUAACACAGGAUCAUGGUAUAUUCACAGCCCAGGUAAAUUUUGAUUCUGCUUCCAGUCUUAUAUCUAUUAUUUAUGAUCUGUUCAGUUUUCUUUUGGGUAUCGAAGUCCAUUGUGAAAUGCUUUCCUGGGGUAAAAAAAAAAAGACUUCUAGUGCUGGUCAGGCCCUUCUAUGAAUAUUUGUUUAUUAUUUUAGAGUUAAAAUUUAUUUUAAUCUUUGCAGAAGAAAACGAAGUUAAUUUAAAAAUGCAUUUAUAGCAAGACCAGCAGACACACACCUCUUUACUUUCUCCCAUGUGCUCCCAUGGGGUUUUUUUUUUUUGAGCAGUGUAGUCAGUGUUACGGAAAUACCAUGAAUUUGCUCUACCUGAACAGCUUUCUCUUGGCUGUGCUCUUUGUCUUYUGAGGUUGUAGUUUGCACUGAUGGGUCUUCAGUUGGUGGUGUAAACUUGCCAGAGAACGAGCACCUGUGUGAUACCUGUGGUUCCCUUGCACCUCAUUAAUCAAAGCAUUCCCUCCUCCCUCUGUACUCACAGUUCGUACCGGUGGACACCUCAAGUAGAGGCUUUGAGGACUAAAUCGUCUCUAAUGUUUCUUAAUUUUAGGUAAAAACCCUCAGCCUGACCAUUCCAUGCUUAGGUACAGCAUUUCAAACCUCAUCAGCAGAGGCCUAACAAAUGCACUACCUUUUAACAGUUGUGUCUACAGUUGAGUGAUUGGAUCGAGCCUUUCUACAGUGAUUCAUUCUCUUUGGUGUGUUGCAAUAACACGUGCUGGAUGGAAGCGGUCACAAGGAGAGGCUCCAGCUCUGUAGGACAUGGGAAAACGAUUCCAGUUGCAGACUUGGAUGUGGCGUUGGACAUGCUGGACAUGAGGAAAAGAUAGGUGGGAAGUUUUCACCAGUUCUGUCACUGACAUGUUGAGAGCCAAAAGGAAAUAYCUGAAGCAAGCCCAGCACUUGCUGAUGAAGUGGGCACAGAAAUUAGAUACUCUGUCCUCUGCUAGCAAAGAACAGUGGGAAUCCAGAAUAAACCCAGACACUGUCCAGCAGCGUCAAGUUAGUUGUGUACAUUGAAGGGUGGAAGCUGGCACGCUCAAAACAGCACUAAACUUGCAUUUUUUUAAUACUCACUAAUUGCCCUUUACGAAGACAAGGCAUUAGCUUGUGUGUGGUGGUGGCUUCUCAAACCAACCCAAAGAGUAGCCAUGGAGUUGCUCUCUUCCUUAGAGCAACCCAUGCGAUUAGGUUCACAAAACAGCAGCAGAACUCUCUUAUUUCCAUUAGCUGCACAUUUUCUCAGGUUGCACACAUCCAAAUYGAGUCUAGUUUUUCUCCCCUCGCCUUGUUGCUGUUUGAGCCCUGUGCUUGUUCUUGUGGCAAACACAACUGUUGAGUCCUGCGUUGGUCUCGCAAUGCUUCCUUGAUGGGCUUUCCACAGAGAUGUCUUUAUUGGAGGUGUUGUUACAUGUCCCCAGGUUUSUUUUCCAUUCUUGCAGCUUAUUAUACAGAAGAAAUAAGAGGGAGGACAACAGAACAGGGCUAAUUAAAGCAUUGGCAAACUUAUUUUUGCUGUGAAGAGUGUGGGUGGGAACUGUACAGGUUGCAGCCAUCUCAUGACUUUUUUUUGUGAUUGUUUUUUUCCCCUCCUUGUAAAAAUAGUUUAGCGGGAGGGAAACAAAUAGUAAGUUCUUAGGUGAGAUGAUAUAUCACAGUGUGCUUUAAACUGCCAAGAGCCUUUCAGUUCCUGCACAGCUGUGACUUUGUUAAAUGUCUGCAAAUCUCUUCAAGUGGAGAAAACAUUUCAUUGCAAUCUCUUCCC
Molecule: RNA transcript, 4145 nt
Organism: Nothoprocta perdicaria
Lineage: Eukaryota; Metazoa; Chordata; Aves; Tinamiformes; Tinamidae
Gene: UVRAG
Gene name: UV radiation resistance associated
Exons: 16
Source: RefSeq, a predicted model, not a curated record